Molecule: ribosomal RNA, 497 nt
Filed under: uncultured bacterium
Lineage: Bacteria
Description: partial 16S ribosomal RNA
Rfam family: Bacterial small subunit ribosomal RNA
Source: RNAcentral
GAUGAACGCUGGCGGCGUGCCUAAUACAUGCAAGUCGAGCGAACGGACGAGAAGCUUGCUUCUCUGAUGUUAGCGGCGGACGGGUGAGUAACACGUGGAUAACCUACCUAUAAGACUGGGAUAACUUCGGGAAACCGGAGCUAAUACCGGAUGAUAUUUUGAACCUCAUGGUUCAAAAGUGAAAGACGGUCUUGCUGUCACUUAUAGAUGGAUCCGCGCUGCAUUAUCUAGUUGGUAAGGUAACGGCUUACCAAGGCAACGAUGCAUAGCCGAACUGAGAGGGGGAUAGGCCAAACUGGAACUGAGACACGGUCCAGACACCUACGGGAGGCAGCAGUAGGGAAUCUUCCGCAAUGGGCGAAAGCAUGACGGAGCAACGCCGCGUGAGUGAUGAAGGUCUUCGGAUCGUAAAACUCUGUUAUUAGGGAAGAACAUAUGUGUAAGUAACUGUGCACAUCUUGACGGUAACUAAUCAGAAAGCCACGGCUAACUACGUG